Molecule: microRNA precursor, 222 nt
Filed under: Arabidopsis lyrata
Lineage: Eukaryota; Viridiplantae; Streptophyta; Magnoliopsida; Brassicales; Brassicaceae
Description: miR159a stem-loop (aly-MIR159a)
Gene: aly-MIR159a
Rfam family: MIR159 microRNA precursor family
Source: miRBase by way of RNAcentral
GAGAAAAAAAAAGAUGGAAGUAGAGCUCCUUGAAGUUCAAACGAGAGUUGAGCAGGGUAAAGAAAAGCUGCUAAGCUAUGGAUCCCAUAAGCCCUAAUCCUUAUAAAGAAAAAAAAGGAUUUGGUUAUAUGGCUUGCAUAUCUCAGGAGCUUUAACUUGCCCUUUAAUGGCUUUUACUCUUCUUUGGAUUGAAGGGAGCUCUACAUCUUCUUUCACCUUCUC